RNAcentral lists this ribosomal RNA (438 nucleotides) under uncultured bacterium. RNAcentral describes it as "partial 16S ribosomal RNA". It matches the Rfam family "Bacterial small subunit ribosomal RNA", at positions 339 to 795 of the family's 1533-position model. The record is from RNAcentral.
CUACGGGUGGCUGCAGUGAGGAAUAUUGCACAAUGGGGGAAACCCUGAUGCAGCAACGCCGCGUGGAGGAUGACGCAUUUCGGUGUGUAAACUCCUUUUAUAUGUCAAGAAAAUGACGGUAGCAUAUGAAUAAGCACCGGCUAACUCCGUGCCAGCAGCCGCGGUAAUACGGAGGGUGCAAGCGUUACUCGGAAUCACUGGCGUAAAGGACGCGUAGGCUGGUUGGUAAGUCAGGUGUGAAAUCCUACGGCUUAACUGUAGAACUGCACUUGAAACUACCAACCUAGAGUAUGGGAGGGGGAGAUGGAAUUAGUGGUGUAGGGGUAAAAUCCGUAGAUAUCACUAGGAAUACCGAAAGCGAAGGCGAUCUCCUGGAACAUAACUGACGCUAAGGCGUGAAAGCGUGGGGAGCAAACAGGAUUAGAUACCCGGGUAGUC